This 1614-nucleotide ribosomal RNA is filed under the name Triticum aestivum (bread wheat). RNAcentral describes it as "partial small subunit ribosomal RNA". Lineage: Eukaryota; Viridiplantae; Streptophyta; Magnoliopsida; Poales; Poaceae. The record is from RNAcentral.
AUGGACGACCAGCAGGUGCUCCUUGGCAUCUCCAGGAGCGAUAUGCUCGCCAGAAUAGAGCGUUGCGGCCGGGAUCCUGCGAUGCUGGACCUCGGCUCAAACAUGCUGCUCCACUUCGCGUACGAGUACCUCCCGGACCCGCCCGUCUCCCCCACCGCGCCCCUCUCGCUCGCCGGCGCGUCGUGGGUCCCCGACGGCGUCGACCGCAUCAGCCGCCUCCCCGACGAGCUCCUCCGCGACAUCAUAUCCCGCCUCCCCGCCAAGGACGCCGCGCGCACCGCCGCUCUCGCCUCGCGCUGGCGCCCACUCUGGCGCUCGGCGCCCCUUACUCUUGUCGACAGCCAUCUGCUCCCGGACGGCGGCGCCUCUGGCCCGUUGAUCAUCGGCGCUCCCUCUCCCCGCGCCGUCACCGGCGCAGUGUCCAGCGCCCUCGCGGCGCACCCGGGGCCUUUCAGCUGCGUCCACUUCACCUGCAGCACCAUGGACGAGCACCGAGGCGAGAUGGCGCACUGGGUCGACACCCUCGUCGCCAAGGGGGUCCAAGAUCUCGUCUUUGUCAACCGCCCUUGGCCGAUUGACCUGCGCCUCCCCGCCACGCUCUUCAGCUGCGCCUCCCUCACCCGCCUCUAUCUCGGCGUCUGGACACUUCCAGGCACCACCGCCGUGCCGCGCGGCGCCAGCUUCCCAAAUCUCCGGGAGCUCGGCCUCUGCAUGACUGUCAUGGAGGACCGUGCUCUGGCCUUCUUGCUCGAAAGAAGCCCCGUCCUGGAGUUCCUCCUCAUCAUGUGGAGCCAGACCGGAGCGCGCCUCCGACUCGUCAGCCACAGCCUGCGGUGUCUUCAGCUGGGCUAUACCCACUUGAAGGACAUCGAAGUGGUGGAUGCCCCUCGCCUGGAGAGGCUCUUCCUGAGAAAUGUAUCCUUGCCUGGAACCGGCAAGUUCACCAUAAACAGCCCUUCCAGGAUCAAGAUUGGCGGUGCACCCAACCUGCGUGUGCUGGGGUACAUUCAGCCAGGACAGACAGAGCUGGGGAUUAGCAACACCGUCAUCGUGGCUGGGAGCAAGGAGAACAUUGUCCCUAGUGUCCAGAUUUUGGCCAUAGACGUGCAGUUCGGUAUCCGCAAUGCUGUGAAGAAAGUGCCCGGCUUUCUCCGCUGUUUCCCCAAGCUGGAGACGCUCCAUGUCUAUUCCCCUCCCAUACCUGAAAAGUCCACCGGCAAGGUCAAUCUGAAGUUCUGGGAGGAGGGCGGUCCCAUGAAAUGCAUGGUGCAGAGCAUGAAGAAGGUGUUCUUCUACGAGUUCCAAGGGUCGAGAAGCGAGGUUGCUUUCCUCAAGUUCAUUGCGGAGAGAGGUCGGGUGCUGGAGCUGAUGGUGGUCGUGGUGGCCAAGGCAUGUUUCUCCUCGGUGGAUGAUGAUGUGAAUGUGAAGCUGAAGCCUCUGACGGGUGCGAAAUGGAGCAGCAAAGCUUGCAAACUACAGAUCAUCGAGAGCCCACGCACUGAUGUCGCAGGUCCACUCUGCAGGCACAAUAUAGUUUCUGAUUUUGGGUGGGCUGACCCUUUCGACCUCAGGUACUACUACAAAGCAGAAAGGAUCUCUGUAAGUUACAGUUAA